CAAUAGCGUAUAUUAAAGUUGUUGCGGUUAAAAAGCUCGUAGUUGGAUUUCUGCCGAGGACGACCGGUCCGCCCUCUGGGUGAGCAUCUGGCUCGGCCUGGGCAUCUUCUUGGAGAACGUAUCUGCACUUGACUGUGUGGUGCGGUAUUCAGGACUUUUACUUUGAGGAAAUUAGAGUGUUUCAAGCAGGCACACGCCUUGAAUACAUUAGCAUGGAAUAAUAAGAUAGGACCUCGGUUCUAUUUUGUUGGUUUCUAGAUCUGAGGUAAUGAUUAAUAGGGAUAGUUGGGGGCAUUCGUAUUUAACUGUCGGAGGUGAAAUUCUUGGAUUUGUUAAAGACGGACUACUGCGAAAGCAUUUGCCAAGGAUGUUUUCAUUGA
This 380-nucleotide ribosomal RNA is filed under the name uncultured eukaryote. RNAcentral's name for it is "partial 18S ribosomal RNA". It matches the Rfam family "Eukaryotic small subunit ribosomal RNA", at positions 592 to 976 of the family's 1831-position model. The record is from RNAcentral.